UUAGUGUUGUACAUUCACCAACAAUACAAAAAAUCAUAAUACACCAUACUUCAUACUUAAAACACAAAUUUGGCAAACAAUUCUUCGUGACAAAAACAGUAAUGGAAGGCAAAGUUGGGUACAAGAGAAUCAUACUAGCACUCUUUUUCAUCGUUGCAACUGUUAUGCUGCAAGUCCUUGCUGUGAAAGCACAACAAGAGAAUCCAGUGUGCGAGGAGCACCUUGGACAUCCAUGCACUCCUGGUGUUAGAGAAUGUUGCGCUAACACCGGACGCCAAUGCGUGGCUGCUCCAUCUUCGAACGGUUUCCGGUGCAUGUAAAACCGUCAUCCAUCACCACCAACUGCAACAUCAAUGACAACCUAUUGUACUGCUUAAUUAUAUUAGAUCUCCUUUGAGUUCUAUACCUCUAUUAUGAAACUUUAAUGUCCUUUUUUUUUUUUUGUGUGUGUGUUUAUAUAUAUAUAUGUUUGGUGAAGUGGAUUAUCUAGUGUAAAAUAGUUGUCUCAUUUAAUAAAUAAAGUGAGUGUCCUUCGUUUUCUAA
Chenopodium quinoa (quinoa) is the source of this 543-nucleotide long non-coding RNA. RefSeq lists it as uncharacterized. The transcript has 2 exons. The record is from RefSeq and is a predicted model, not a curated record. NCBI's taxonomy places the organism in Eukaryota, Viridiplantae, Streptophyta, Magnoliopsida, Caryophyllales, Amaranthaceae.